AAAUUGAAGAGUUUGAUCAUGGCUCAGAUUGAACGCUGGCGGCAGGCCUAACACAUGCAAGUCGAGCGGAAACGACAACAUUGAAUCUUCGGAGGAUUUGUUGGGCGUCGAGCGGCGGACGGGUGAGUAAUGCCUAGGAAAUUGCCUUGAUGUGGGGGAUAACCAUUGGAAACGAUGGCUAAUACCGCAUAAUGCCUA
Molecule: ribosomal RNA, 198 nt
Filed under: Vibrio splendidus
Lineage: Bacteria; Pseudomonadati; Pseudomonadota; Gammaproteobacteria; Vibrionales; Vibrionaceae
Description: partial 16S ribosomal RNA
Rfam family: Bacterial small subunit ribosomal RNA
Source: RNAcentral